CCUACGGUAGGCAGCAGUGAGGAAUAUUGGUCAAUGGACGCAAGUCUGAACCAGCCAUGCCGCGUGCAGGAAGACGGCUCUAUGAGUUGUAAACUGCUUUUGUACGAGGGUAAACGCAGAUACGCGUAUCUGUCUGAAAGUAUCGUACGAAUAAGGAUCGGCUAACUCCGUGCCAGCAGCCGCGGUAAUACGGAGGAUUCAAGCGUUAUCCGGAUUUAUUGGGUUUAAAGGGUGCGUAGGCGGUCUGAUAAGUUAGAGGUGAAAUCCCGAGGCUCAACUUCGGAAUUGCCUCUGAUACUGUUCGGCUAGAGAGUAGUUGUGGUAGGCGGAAUGUAUGGUGUAGCGGUGAAAUGCUUAGAGAUCAUACAGAACACCGAUUGCGAAGGCAGCUUACCAAGCUACUUCUGACGUUGAGGCACGAAAGCGUGGGGAGCAAACAGGAUUAGAUACCCUAGUAGUC
This 460-nucleotide ribosomal RNA is filed under the name uncultured bacterium. RNAcentral's name for it is "partial 16S ribosomal RNA". It matches the Rfam family "Bacterial small subunit ribosomal RNA", at positions 338 to 795 of the family's 1533-position model. The record is from RNAcentral.